ACGGAAGGCAGCAGUGGGGAAUAUUGCACAAUGGGGGAAACCCUGAUGUAGCAACGCCACGUGUGGGAAGAAGCAUUUCGGUGUGUAACCCACUGUCGUGAAGGAAUAAGGCUUAUUUUCGGAUAAGUUGAAUGUACUUUGAAAGGAAGCACCGGCAAACUUCGUGCCAGCAGCCGCGGUAAUACGAGGGGUGCAAGCGUUGUUCGGAAUCACUGGGCGUAAAGGGAGCGCAGGCGGAGAUGCAAGCAGUCUGUACAAUACCGGGGCCCAACCCCGGACCUGCAGACUGGACUGUUUCUCUUGGAUAGCUCAGGGACUGGCGGAAUUCCUGGUGUAGCGGUGGAAUGCGUAGAGAUCAGGAAGAACACCGAUGGCGAAGGCAGCCAGCUGGGGGCUUAUCGACGCUCAUGCUCGAAAGUGCGGGUAGCAAACAGGAUUAGAUACCCUGGUA
Molecule: ribosomal RNA, 451 nt
Filed under: uncultured Fibrobacter sp.
Lineage: Bacteria; Pseudomonadati; Fibrobacterota; Fibrobacteria; Fibrobacterales; Fibrobacteraceae
Description: partial 16S ribosomal RNA
Rfam family: Bacterial small subunit ribosomal RNA
Source: RNAcentral